RNAcentral lists this ribosomal RNA (467 nucleotides) under uncultured bacterium. RNAcentral describes it as "partial 16S ribosomal RNA". It matches the Rfam family "Bacterial small subunit ribosomal RNA", at positions 28 to 507 of the family's 1533-position model. The record is from RNAcentral.
GACGAACGCUUGCGGCGUGCUUACCACAUGCACGUCGCACGGAACGGCCUCUUUCGGGGGGUCCUCGCGAUGCUAACGGGUGUGUAACCCGUGCGUCACCUGCCCUUGACUUUGGGAUAACUUCCGGCAACUAGGGCUACUACCGGUUACAGCCUCCUGCUGCAUGGUGGGGGUUGGAAAGUUUCGGCGGUGGGGGAUGGACUCGCGGCUGAUCAGCAUGUUGGUGGGGAAGUGGCUUACCAAGGCUCUGACGGGUAGCCGGCCUGAGAGGGUGACCGGCAGCAUUGGGACUGAGAUACGGCGCAGACGCCUACGGGAGGCAGCAGUGGGGAAUGGUGCACAAUGGGUGGAAGCCGGAUGCAGCAACGCCUGGUGCGGGAGGACGGUCUUCGUGUUGGAAACCGCUUUCGCUCGUGGCUAAGCAUUGUGUGACGGUAGUGGGUAAAGAAGCACCGGCUAACUACGUG